Molecule: RNA transcript, 2853 nt
Organism: Helianthus annuus (common sunflower)
Lineage: Eukaryota; Viridiplantae; Streptophyta; Magnoliopsida; Asterales; Asteraceae
Gene name: eukaryotic translation initiation factor 3 subunit B
Exons: 5
Source: RefSeq, a predicted model, not a curated record
CCCGGCGGCAAAUUUCCCUCCAUUGAGUGCUUUCAUUCUCCUCAAAUCUCCUAAAAUCUACCUUUCCCCCAAAUCUCCUAAAUAUAAUUCUCCCCCAAAUCUUUCAAAGGCCAUUCAUCUUCACCACAAAGAACCACCGUCUUCACUUGUGACCGUCUGCCACUGCUGGAAACGAACCGCCAUUGACGACUCUUCUUGAAUCUGGGCUUGUGUCGAACCGUCUUCAAUGAGCAUGUGUCGAAUCUGCGUGAAUCUGGUCUUGUUUCGAAUCCGACGUUAGGGUUUCCAUCAGAUUUCUAUUCACCACCAAGGGUUUCCACUAUAAAUGCUACCAUUCAUCAACCCCCCACUCUACAAUCUUCCUUCUUCUUUACAUAACCAGGGAGUUUUAACUUCAUUUUUUUUAUUUACAUAGAGUUAUGGUGUUCUCUCUGGUCGAAUCUUAUUGUUAUUUUUUAUAUUUAAGUUGUUUACAUGAUUUUUUUGUUAAAUUAUCCUCCUGCAUUUCAAUUUUGGCUUUAGUUACAUUGUCCUACGUGUCAUUAUUAGUAUUCAUGUUAUAUAUUCAUUGUUGUCAUGAGCUUAAUGUAUAUAUUUAAUGGAAACAGUGAGUUUAUUAGCAAACGUUUUAGUUUAUAUGAUAUAUAUCUUAAAUCGGCAUUUUCUCUUUUAUGAUAUUUAGAUAGUGGUGUUUGGAAACAGAUUUUUGAUAGUUAAUGGUCUAAAAGUUUAGCAUUUUAGAUUAUUGAUAAAUCUAUUAUGUCCUGCAAGAGUUCAGAUUUUAAAAUUAGAUUAUCUUGAAUAAAGAUUUUUUUUGGAACUGAUGUUUCUUGUCUUGUUUGUAUAUGUUCUUGGACAACAUUUAAUGUGAUUCUUUUGGCUCUUUGUAAUUAUGUAAUUAAGAUGUGGUUCUUUGCUGAUUUUAGAAUCGAGAAUACUAUGUAGCUGUAAGGAAGAGAAAUUUGAGUUUUGUGUGAAGUCAUCUUGAAAUGUUAGAAGCAAAACUAGGAGAAGAGUUAAGUCACUUGAAGACGCUGGGAUGUGAAGAAAAUUAAAAACUAAGCAAAACUAGGAGAAGAGUUAAGACAUACGAAGAUGCUGGGAUGUGAAGAAAAUAAAAAACUAAAGAUGUCAUUAUGAAGUGCUAUGUAUGAAUGUUUUGUGGGGUUUUGACAUUUCUUUUUAGAAAUUUUGCAUUAGGAAUUUUCAGCACCACUUGAUAAUACAUUGUAGGAGGAUGUGCUUUAGAAGAAAACUGAAGUGCUUGAUGUUAUAUUUUUUGCUGUUAAUUUAAUUGCAGAAAAGAUAUAAGGAAAUUAAAAAAAUCGGGUUAAAUGGGUGGUAUUCGGGUUAACCUGUGAAUAUUCGGGUCGUGUUUGGGUUCAUAUGUCUUAUAUUAUUUUCGGGUUCGGGUAAAAUUUUCGGGUUCAGGUCGGGUUGGACCUGUCAACCCCCGAACCCGACCCGUUAAGCACCCCUAGACUGAAGGUUGAUCCUGUUUGCAAACGCCCUGUAAAUUAUACAUGUUUUUUUUUAUUUUAUUGUUUUCUUGUUUGAGGUAUUCUCAUUUGAACAAUACUCAAAAGUGGAAUUUGUUUUCCCUUCUUAUUGCAGUUUUGGACUGAAGUUUUGUGCAGUGGUCGCCGUUAGGGAGCUACUUAGCAACUGUACAUAAACAGGGUGCUGUUGUGUGGGGUGGUGCUUCUAGUUUUAAUCAACUAAUGCGAUAUGUUCAUCCACAUGUUCUUAUGAUCAUGGUUUUCUUAUUUCCAGUAAUUAGUUUUUUAAUUAUUCUUUAGAUUAUUUGCAUAUGAUCCUGAAACUAUGCUCUUAACUAUAAGUCAACUUAUUGACUUCUCUCCUGGUGAGAAAUAUUUGGCUAAUUGCAGCAGUCAUGAACCAAGCAACCCUCGCGACACUCAUAGAGUAGUGCUUAACAUAUUUGAUGUGAGAACUGGAAAAAUAAUGAAAGGUUUCAACGAAAGGGCAGAUGAGUUUGCGUUUGGAGAAACCGGCGGUUUCACUGGGGUUUCUUGGCCUGUUUUCAGUUUUCAUGGAGGCCUCGGCCGCCAUCCUUGUUGUGUCCCGAGAAGGAGGAAGAAACAUUGAAGAAUCUUAAAAAAUACAGUGGAAAGUAUGAGAUUGAGGAUCAAGACAUAUCAGUUCUGACCGGACCCGUUCCGACCCAAACCCGUUUCAACCCGAACCAAAAACAACCUUUUUUUUUAUAAUUGACUCGUUUUGACUCGAACCCGUUUGACCCGAACACAUUUUGACCCAUGUCCUGACCCAACCCAACCCGUUUGCCAAGUUUAAGUGGAGCCCUUGUGUACAUUAACUAUCACGCUCUUGUUUAUAAGUGUCAGUUGAGCCGUUGCAUAUCUGGCAGAUCAUAUGGCUCACAUAUCCACAUUUUAUGGGAAAAACCAUAUAGAUCUCUGUUUUUCUAUAUCAUUGUAUGUUGUAUGUGAUAAGCUUGCUUUUUUAAUAGUCAUAUCUAUGUUUUUUUUUUUCAUGUUGGGUGUAACUUUGGGCGAAGCUAUGCGAAAGAGAAGUUGAGUCUGGAAAGCCAGAUCUACUGAAAUGCUGUUGAUUUUUAGUCCUAAACGACUUUAUAUUACUGUACAGGCCUGCUGGAAUAUUGUUGAUUUCAUAACAUGUUGACAGUUCAUAGGGGCACAUUUAUCUAUCUAUCUAUCUAGGGCGUGACCCGACCCGAGCGCACGAUGAACAUUUGGGUAAGUAUCUGAUGAAGAAGCGGAUGAUGACACGGAUAUGACGUACAAUUAUUACAUUUUAUAUGUUAGGUAGUUUUAUGACGUGUUUGUGAAUUGUGACGUUUGUGACGUUUAU